AAUAGAUACCCCGGUAGUCCACGCCGUAAACGAUGGAUACUAGCUGUUCGGAGUAAUCUGAGUGGCUAAGCGAAAGUGAUAAGUAUCCCACCUGGGGAGUACGUUCGCAAGAAUGAGACUCAAAGGAAUUGACGGGGGCCCGCACAAGCGGUGGAGCAUGUGGUUUAAUUCGAUGAUACGCGAGGAACCUUACCAGGGCUUAAAUGUAGAUUGACAGGUUUAGAGAUAGACUUUUCUUCGGACAAUUUACAAGGUGCUGCAUGGUUGUCGUCAGCUCGUGCCGUGAGGUGUCAGGUUAAGUCCUAUAACGAGCGCAACCCCUGUUGUUAGUUGCCAGCGAGUAAUGUCGGGAACUCUAACAAGACUGCCAGUGCAAACUGUGAGGAAGGUGGGGAUGACGUCAAAUCAUCACGGCCCUUACGUCCUGGGCUACACACGUGCUACAAUGGUGGGGACAGAGAGCAGCCACUUCGCGAGAAGGAGCGAAUCUAUAAACCCUAUCACAGUUCGGAUCGGAGUCUGCAAA
This 526-nucleotide ribosomal RNA is filed under the name uncultured bacterium. RNAcentral's name for it is "bacterial SSU rRNA". It matches the Rfam family "Bacterial small subunit ribosomal RNA", at positions 777 to 1311 of the family's 1533-position model. The record is from RNAcentral.